GAUGAACGCUCGCUACAGGCUUAACACAUGCAAGUCGCGGGGCAGCAUGGGGGUUGCUUGCCAUCCCCGAUGGCGACCGGCGCACGGGUGAGUAACGCGUAUCCAACCUGCCCUUCACCACGGGAUAACCCGGCGAAAGUCGGACUAAUACCGUAUGUUGUCCAUUGACGGCCUCCGAUUUGGACGAAAGGUUUGGCGGUGAAGGAUGGGGAUGCGUCCGAUUAGCUGGACGGCGGGGUGACGGCCCACCGGGGCGACGAUCGGUAGGGGUUCUGAGAGGAAGGUCCCCCACACUGGAACUGAGACACGGUCCAGACUCCUACGGGAGGCAGCAGUGAGGAAGAUUGGUCAAUGGGCGUAAGCCUGAACCAGCCAAGUAGCGUGCAGGAGGACGGCCCUAUGGGUUGUAAACUGCUUUUAUGCGGGGAUAAAGUGGCCCACGUGUGGGUUUUUGCAGGUACCGCAUGAAUAAGGACCGGCUAAUUCCGUG
RNAcentral lists this ribosomal RNA (490 nucleotides) under uncultured bacterium. RNAcentral's name for it is "partial 16S ribosomal RNA". It matches the Rfam family "Bacterial small subunit ribosomal RNA", at positions 28 to 507 of the family's 1533-position model. The record is from RNAcentral.